Long non-coding RNA from Anguilla anguilla (European eel), 327 nucleotides. RefSeq lists it as uncharacterized. The transcript has 2 exons. The record is from RefSeq and is a predicted model, not a curated record. Lineage: Eukaryota; Metazoa; Chordata; Actinopteri; Anguilliformes; Anguillidae.
GUACCGCCCCAACAGUCAGCUGAACAGCCUGGUACUGCCCCAACAGUCAGGUGAACAGCCUGGUACUGCCCCAACAGUCAGGUGAACAGCCUGGUUUUUGCAUACGGAUCAGAGUGGAUCAGUUCACGUUAGAAUUAAAGACCGUUUCCAGUGCAUAAGGAUUUUUGGCAGCUCUUGAUUCCUGUGUGUAUGAUAUGAAAUAUAUACAAUGAUUACGUUUCCCUAACUGAGUGUGAAACCUGCACCAUCCCGUGUCAACAGACCCAGGAACACAGAGACGAGCCGAGAGACUCACACAAGCUGCAGGAACACAGAGAAAAAUACAAA